GCCAAAUCGGAGCUACCAUGCAAGCCGAGCGGUAGAGUAUCUUCGGAUACUUGAGAGCGGCGUACGGGUGCGGAACACGUGUGCAACCUGCCUUUAUCUGAGGGAUAGCCUUUCGAAAGGAAGAUUAAUACCUCAUAAUAUACUGAUUGGCAUCAAUUAGUAUUGAAAGCUCCGGCGGAUAGAGAUGGGCACGCGCAAGAUUAGAUAGUUGGUGAGGUAACGGCUCACCAAGUCAAUGAUCUUUAGGGGGCCUGAGAGGGUGAUCCCCCACACUGGUACUGAGACACGGACCAGACUCCUACGGGAGGCAGCAGUGAGGAAUAUUGGACAAUGGGUGCAAGCCUGAUCCAGCCAUCCCGCGUGAAGGACGACGGCCCUAUGGGUUGUAAACUUCUUUUGUGCAGGGAUAAACCUACUCUCGUGAGGGUAGCUGAAGGUACUGUACGAAUAAGCACCGGCUAACUCCGUGCCAGCAGCCGCGGUAAUACGGAGGGUGCAAGCGUUAUCCGGAUUUAUUGGGUUUAAAGGGUCCGCAGGCGGGCUAGUAAGUCAGUGGUGAAAGCCUACAGCUUAACUGUAGAACUGCCGUUGAUACUGCUAGUCUUGAGUAUAGUUGAGGUAGCUGGAAUGAGUAGUGUAGCGGUGAAAUGCAUAGAUAUUACUCAGAACACCGAUUGCGAAGGCAGGUUACCAAGUUAUAACUGACGCUGAGGGACGAAAGCGGGGA
This 727-nucleotide ribosomal RNA is filed under the name Riemerella anatipestifer. Its description in RNAcentral is "bacterial SSU rRNA". It matches the Rfam family "Bacterial small subunit ribosomal RNA", at positions 39 to 765 of the family's 1533-position model. The record is from RNAcentral. Lineage: Bacteria; Pseudomonadati; Bacteroidota; Flavobacteriia; Flavobacteriales; Weeksellaceae.